This 318-nucleotide long non-coding RNA is filed under the name Capra hircus (goat). Its description in RNAcentral is "lncRNA (ENSCHIG00000005685.1)". The record is from RNAcentral. Lineage: Eukaryota; Metazoa; Chordata; Mammalia; Artiodactyla; Bovidae.
GGCUGUCUUAAGCAUUGUGGGCUGUGUAGCAGCCAUCCUAACCCUCUAAUUGAGAGAUACUAACAUCACCCUCUGUCAAGUUUUGGCACCAGAAAUGCAUCCAGAGUUGCCAGAUGUACCUGGAGGGAAGUGGAGGAGCUGAAGUACCUUCAGUUUAGGCCCACAUAUGACCACGUAGAUCUAGGCAGAUUAAACAGCCCCAAUACAAGCUUCCUGUUCUCAGACUGCUGGAAUUGUGAGCCUGAUUCAGUGUCUCAAGAACUCUUUAAGACUAGUAUACAACUUCCCAGUGGGCAAGCUUCUAAGGCACUGUAUUGA